AGAACGAACGCUGGCGGCAUGCCUAACACAUGCAAGUCGAACGCUCUCUUCGGAGGGAGUGGCGCACGGGUGAGUAACGCGUGGGAACCUGCCUUGGAGUGGGGGAUAACCGAUGGAAACGUCGGCUAAUACCGCAUACGUCCUGAGGGAGAAAGAUUUAUCGCUCUGAGAGGGGCCCGCGUCGGAUUAGCUAGUUGGUGGGGUAACGGCCUACCAAGGCGAUGAUCCGUAGCUGGUCUGGGAGGAUGAUCAGCCACACUGGGACUGAGACACGGCCCAGACUCCUACGGGAGGCAGCAGUGGGGAAUAUUGGACAAUGGGCGCAAGCCUGAUCCAGCAAUGCCGCGUGAGUGAUGACGGCCUUAGGGUUGUAAAGCUCUUUCGCUCGGGACGAUAAUGACGGUACCGAGAUAAGAGCCCGGCUAACUCGUGCCAGCAGCCGC
This 443-nucleotide ribosomal RNA is filed under the name uncultured bacterium. RNAcentral's name for it is "SSU rRNA". It matches the Rfam family "Bacterial small subunit ribosomal RNA", at positions 26 to 518 of the family's 1533-position model. The record is from RNAcentral.